AGCGAGAAAAGGGGAGCAUCCUCUGAGUAAAGCGGCGCACGGGUGAGUAACACGUGGGUAAUCUGCCCUGGAGUGGGGAAUAACACCGGGAAACGGGUGCUAAUACCGCAUACGAUAAUGAGGUCUGCGGAUCUUGUUAUGAAAGGAGCAAUUCGCUCCAGGAGGAGCCCGCGGCUGAUUAGCUAGUUGGUGAGGUAAUGGCUCACCAAGGCUUCGAUCAGUAUCCGGUCUGAGAGGACGGUCGGACACACUGGAACUGAGACACGGUCCAGACUCCUACGGGAGGCAGCAGUGGGGAAUUUUUGGCAAUGGGGGCAACCCUGAACCAAGCAACGGCGCGUGGGUGAUGAAGUCUCUUGGGACGUAAAACCCUUUCGACGGGGAAGAA
Molecule: ribosomal RNA, 388 nt
Filed under: uncultured bacterium
Lineage: Bacteria
Description: bacterial SSU rRNA
Rfam family: Bacterial small subunit ribosomal RNA
Source: RNAcentral